This 468-nucleotide ribosomal RNA is filed under the name uncultured bacterium. RNAcentral's name for it is "partial 16S ribosomal RNA". It matches the Rfam family "Bacterial small subunit ribosomal RNA", at positions 28 to 507 of the family's 1533-position model. The record is from RNAcentral.
GACGAACGCUGGCGGCGUGCUUAACACAUGCAAGUCGAACGGACAGGCCCUGCUUUUGUUGGUUUCUCGUGUGGCGAACGGGUGAGUAUCACGUGUGUAACCUGCCCUUGACUUUGUGAUAACUUCAGGAAACUGGGGCUCUUACCGGAUAUGAUCUCCUGCUCCGUGGUGUGCGUUGGAAAGUGUCGGCGGUUGGGGCUCGACUCGCUGCUUAUCAGCUUGUUUGUGUGGUAGUUGCUUACGAAGGCUUUGAGGGGUAGCCUGCCUGGGAGGGGUACCGGGGACAAGAGGACUAAGGGACGGAGCAGAAGCGUACGGGAGGCAACAGGGGGGAAUAUUGCACAAUGGGGGGAAGCGUGAGACAGAAACGCCGGGUGCGGGAUGAUGGGCUACGGGGUGUAAACAGAUGUCGAAGGUGACGAAGAGUGAGUGACGGUAAUGGGUAAAGAAGCACCGGCUAACUACGUG